UACAGAGGGUGCAAGCGUUGUUCGGAAUUAUUGGGCGUAAAGCGCGUGUAGGCGGCUUUGUAAGUCGGGUGUGAAAGCCCUCAGCUUAACUGAGGAAGUGCGCCCGAAACUGCCGAGCUUGAGUGUCGGAGAGGAUGGCGGAAUUCCCCAAGUAGAGGUGAAAUUCGUAGAUAUGGGGAGGAACACCGGUGGCGAAGGCGGCCAUCUGGACGACAACUGACGCUGAGACGCGAAAGCGUGGGGAGCAAACAGG
Molecule: unclassified non-coding RNA, 253 nt
Filed under: uncultured Myxococcales bacterium
Lineage: Bacteria; Pseudomonadati; Myxococcota; Myxococcia; Myxococcales
Description: contains 16S-23S intergenic spacer region
Rfam family: Bacterial small subunit ribosomal RNA
Source: RNAcentral